CGGCGUGUAGCUCAGUUGGUAGAGCGCACGGCUGAUAACCGUGAGGUCCCAGGUUCGAUCCCUGGCACGCCGACCA
Molecule: transfer RNA, 76 nt
Filed under: uncultured bacterium
Lineage: Bacteria
Description: tRNA-Ile
Rfam family: tRNA
About the family: Transfer RNA (tRNA) molecules are approximately 80 nucleotides in length. Their secondary structure includes four short double-helical elements and three loops (D, anti-codon, and T loops).
Source: RNAcentral